Molecule: non-coding RNA, 45 nt
Filed under: Schistosoma mattheei
Lineage: Eukaryota; Metazoa; Platyhelminthes; Trematoda; Strigeidida; Schistosomatidae
Source: RNAcentral
AUCCAGCUGAAAAGUUCCAAACAGGACGAAACGUGCAUCGUGGAU